CCCGCGGCGGCCGCCGCAGCCCGCCCGCCCGCCGCCACCCGGCCCGCCGCGGGGCCCCGGGCCCGAGACUGGCGCCCCGCGCCCCGGAUUCGCCUCGGCUCGGCCGCGCGGCAUUGAAAAGGAAAAGAUGAAAUAUAUGUUUAUAUAUAACUCUGUUUCUGCAUACCUCACUGGCGUCAAAACGCAUUUAAUUGUUCUAUUUCCCUUUUCUCCAUGAUCUCCGACCCUGGUACAGUAGAAGAAACUGAGGUACCGUGAAACAGGAAAGUCUCUGGGACUGAGAAAAAGAGGUAGGGGUCCCCCUGGCAUUUUCAUCCCACUUGCCUGGCGCAUGAUGUCCCACCGUACCACAGUGUUUAUCUUAGGAAUGGAGCUGGGAAUCGGAUGGAAGGUUGGAAAGGAGUCCCAAAGUAGCUCUCUCAUCCGGAGAUCCAGCCGAGAAGUCCUCUAAAACUUGCCUCUUGAACAGGGCGGGCAAAGGAAGGAGGGCAAAAAGCU
Molecule: long non-coding RNA, 498 nt
Organism: Lontra canadensis (Northern American river otter)
Lineage: Eukaryota; Metazoa; Chordata; Mammalia; Carnivora; Mustelidae
Exons: 3
Source: RefSeq, a predicted model, not a curated record